RNAcentral lists this transfer RNA (87 nucleotides) under Uroplatus henkeli. Its description in RNAcentral is "tRNA-Cys". Lineage: Eukaryota; Metazoa; Chordata; Lepidosauria; Squamata; Gekkonidae. The record is from RNAcentral.
UCCUUCAAAACGGGAGAAGCCCCCGGAGACUGUUGACGUCUCCUGCCGCGUUUGCAGCGCGCCGKUUCGCGUGKGGGUGCUAGAGGS